UUGUCCUGAAGGAUGGAAGAGAUUUGGAUGCAGCUGUUACUUUAAAUCCAAUGAGGAGAAAACUUGGUCUGACAGCAGAAGUGACUGUCAAAGUAGAGGAGCAGAUCUGGUGAUCAUAAACAACGAAGAGGAACAGAAAUGUGUCACUGAGCUGAACAAGGAUGGAGACUCCUGGAUUGGUCUACAGGCCACAGAACGGACAGGAUGGAAAUGGAAAUGGGUGGACGACUCGCCGCUGACACUAAAGUUCUGGGCAACAGGACACCCGCACAGCAACAAAUAUUACGCUGCUGCCUGCUGCAAUAAACAAGGAAAUUGGACGAGCAGAUAUAUGAUCAGAAGAAGAACUGGAUCUGUGAGAAAUAGAUUUCCUGUUUAUCUUGAGGACAGAGGGGUGUGUAGUGUUGGGAUCAACUUUGUCAAAUUAGACCAACUCACAUUUUACAUUUCUUCAGUUGUUCAUUCUGUGUUGCAUCCUGAACAACCUGGAUUACAUAGAUAUUGUUCCUCUGCCCUACACAGUGAACAGUCUGGUUGGAAGUCAUCCACACAACUACAUGUGCACUUACCCUCUCUGCAGAGAGGGAUAUUACAACAGCCUGUUUUCAAAAAGCCUAAGAUGUCACAUACAUGACAACAAGGGGAAAGACGGCUCCUUUCUGUUUCAGUGUUAUUUAAGCCAUUAUCAUAAAGGACAAACCUCAUAGGCUUCUUCCACAGACCACUUACUGAUGUAGUUACACUUGGGAGGAGG
Molecule: long non-coding RNA, 754 nt
Organism: Micropterus salmoides (largemouth bass)
Lineage: Eukaryota; Metazoa; Chordata; Actinopteri; Centrarchiformes; Centrarchidae
Exons: 3
Source: RefSeq, a predicted model, not a curated record